Scophthalmus maximus (turbot) is the source of this 122-nucleotide ribosomal RNA. The record is from Ensembl. NCBI's taxonomy places the organism in Eukaryota, Metazoa, Chordata, Actinopteri, Pleuronectiformes, Scophthalmidae.
GCUUACGGCCACACCCCCGCCUGGUUCACGCCCGAUCUCGUUUGAUCUCGGAAGCUAAGAUAGGUUGGGGCUGGUUAGUACUUGGAUGGGAGACCGCCUGGGAAUACCAGGUGCUGUAAGCU